AGGAACACCGAUGGCGAAGGCAGGUCUCUGGGCUGUUACUGACGCUGAGGAGCGAAAGCAUGGGGAGCGAACAGGAUUAGAUACCCUGGUAGUCCAUGCCGUAAACGUUGGGCACUAGGUGUGGGGGACAUUCCACGUUUUCCGCGCCGUAGCUAACGCAUUAAGUGCCCCGCCUGGGGAGUACGGCCGCAAGGCUAAAACUCAAAGGAAUUGACGGGGGCCCGCACAAGCGGCGGAGCAUGCGGAUUAAUUCGAUGCAACGCGAAGAACCUUACCAAGGCUUGACAUUCACCGGACCGCCCCAGAGAUGGGGUUUCCCUUCGGGGCUGGUGGACAGGUGGUGCAUGGUUGUCGUCAGCUCGUGUCGUGAGAUGUUGGGUUAAGUCCCGCAACGAGCGCAACCCUCGUUCUAUGUUGCCAGCACGUGAUGGUGGGGACUCAUAGGAGACUGCCGGGGUCAACUCGGAGGAAGGUGGGGAUGACGUCAAAUCAUCAUGCCCCUUAUGUCUUGGGCUUCACGCAUGCUACAAUGGCCGGUACAAAGGGUUGCGAUACUGUGAGGUGGAGCUAAUCCCAAAAAGCCGGUCUCAGUUCGGAUUGAGGUCUGCAACUCGACCUCAUGAAGUCGGAGUCGCUAGUAAUCGCAGAUCAGCAACGCUGCGGUGAAUACGUUCCCGGGCCUUGUACACACCGCCCGUCAAGUCACGAAAGUUGGUAACACCCGAAGCCGGUGGCCUAACCCCUUGUGGGAGG
This 753-nucleotide ribosomal RNA is filed under the name Kocuria sp. RNAcentral's name for it is "bacterial SSU rRNA". It matches the Rfam family "Bacterial small subunit ribosomal RNA", at positions 702 to 1450 of the family's 1533-position model. Lineage: Bacteria; Bacillati; Actinomycetota; Actinomycetes; Micrococcales; Micrococcaceae. The record is from RNAcentral.